This 519-nucleotide ribosomal RNA is filed under the name Sphingomonas sp. EP_L_83. RNAcentral's name for it is "bacterial SSU rRNA". It matches the Rfam family "Bacterial small subunit ribosomal RNA", at positions 36 to 601 of the family's 1533-position model. Lineage: Bacteria; Pseudomonadati; Pseudomonadota; Alphaproteobacteria; Sphingomonadales; Sphingomonadaceae. The record is from RNAcentral.
CUGGCGGCAUGCCUAACACAUGCAAGUCGAACGAAGCCUUCGGGUUUAGUGGCGCACGGGUGCGUAACGCGUGGGAAUCUGCCCCUUGGUUCGGAAUAACAGUUGGAAACGACUGCUAAUACCGGAUGAUGACGUAAGUCCAAAGAUUUAUCGCCGAGGGAUGAGCCCGCGUAGGAUUAGGUAGUUGGUGUGGUAAAGGCGCACCAAGCCGACGAUCCUUAGCUGGUCUGAGAGGAUGAUCAGCCACACUGGGACUGAGACACGGCCCAGACUCCUACGGGAGGCAGCAGUGGGGAAUAUUGGACAAUGGGCGAAAGCCUGAUCCAGCAAUGCCGCGUGAGUGAUGAAGGCCUUAGGGUUGUAAAGCUCUUUUACCCGGGAUGAUAAUGACAGUACCGGGAGAAUAAGCUCCGGCUAACUCCGUGCCAGCAGCCGCGGUAAUACGGAGGGAGCUAGCGUUAUUCGGAAUUACUGGGCGUAAAGCGCACGUAGGCUGCUUUGUAAGUAAUAGGUGAAAGC